This 253-nucleotide ribosomal RNA is filed under the name uncultured bacterium. RNAcentral describes it as "partial 16S ribosomal RNA". It matches the Rfam family "Bacterial small subunit ribosomal RNA", at positions 524 to 776 of the family's 1533-position model. The record is from RNAcentral.
UACGAAGGGGGCUAGCGUUGUUCGGAAUCACUGGGCGUAAAGCGCACGUAGGCGGAUUGUUAAGUCAGGGGUGAAAUCCUGGAGCUCAACUCCAGAACUGCCUUUGAUACUGGCGAUCUCGAGUCCGGGAGAGGUGAGUGGAACUGCGAGUGUAGAGGUGAAAUUCGUAGAUAUCUGGAGGAAUACCGGUGGCGAAGGCGGCAUCCUGGACCGGCAUUGACGCUGAGGAGCGAAAGCUAGGGGAGCAAACGGG